CCUACGGGCGGCAGCAGUGAGGAAUAUUGGUCAAUGGGCGCGAGCCUGAACCAGCCAAGUAGCGUGAAGGAUGACUGCCCUACGGGUUGUAAACUUCUUUUAUAAAGGAAUAAAGUGAGGCACUUGUGCCUUUUUGUAUGUACCUUAUGAAUAAGGAUCGGCUAACGCCGUGCCAGCAGCCGCGGUAAUACGGAGGGUCCGAGCGUUAUCCGGAUUUAUUGGGGUUAAAGGGAGCGUAGAUGGGUUGUUAAGUCAGUUGUGAAAGUUUGCGGCUCAACCGUAAAAUUGCAAUUGAUACUGGCAGCCUUGAGUACAGUUGAGGUAGGCGGAAUUCGUGGUGUAGCGGUGAAAUGCUUAGAUAUCACGAAGAACUCCGAUUGCGAAGGCAGCUUACUAAACUGCAACUGACAUUGAUGCACGAAAGUGUGGGUAUCAAACAGGAUUAGAUACCCUGGUAGUC
This 460-nucleotide ribosomal RNA is filed under the name uncultured bacterium. RNAcentral describes it as "partial 16S ribosomal RNA". It matches the Rfam family "Bacterial small subunit ribosomal RNA", at positions 338 to 795 of the family's 1533-position model. The record is from RNAcentral.